This 4381-nucleotide long non-coding RNA is filed under the name Sus scrofa (pig). Its description in RNAcentral is "lncRNA (ENSSSCG00045003545.1)". Lineage: Eukaryota; Metazoa; Chordata; Mammalia; Artiodactyla; Suidae. The record is from RNAcentral.
CGGCGAGCUUUUUACCCGGGCGGCCUCUCAACCCUAGGUCAGCGGGUUGCGGAGGAUCGUGCGGGUAGCAAAGGGAGGGCGAGUGCUCCUGCGGCCCCAGACGGCAACCAGGAUCUAAUUCAGGAUCCCACAUUGUAUUUGUCAUAUCUCCUUAGGCCCUUUCAAUCUGGGACAGUCCUUUUGUCUUUCAUGUCUUUGGAAACUUUUGAAGAGUCCUGGCCAGAACAUACAUCAUUGUUAGAAUCAUCACCCUGCAGCUAGCUUGGACACCAUUAAAAGGGCUCAUCAACUGCAAACGGAUAGAAGUAUCUGAUAUUCGUGAAGACAGAGUUUCAGGGCUUCUGCCUGGAGCUACACUCUCCAGAAGCCCCUGCUUGGCCUCUCUGCACCCAACCCCACCCCAACCAGUCACAGCUUGGGUCGUGUGUGGUGUUUCUUGGCAACUGGAAAACAGACUCCUCCAGCAGCUCCACAGGCCCCUUGUCCUCACUGAGCAGAAGACUACAGAAGCUGGCUACUGAAGAAGCUGUCCAAGUCUUAGAGCUCCUCCUUGGCCCUGCUUAGCACACUUACCACAGAGCAGUAACCGAGUGCUGGCUGUUACUCAUUUGCGCUUACUACCUGCAGGGACUUCAGAGGGAUUUGUCAGACCCCAUUUCACCCUAAGGCCACUCCCUAAGAAUCUCCACAGGAGGCUACCCAUAGAGAGAGGUGGCUUGCCUAGGGUCUCCACUGCCUUAGGUCAUACGUGGACACUUCCAGGGCUAAGGGGAUUAAUAUCUUUUUGCCUACCUGUAACCCACAUAUCCAUUGGAAAAUUCUGCCUCCUGCUAUUUUCUGUUCUUUUAUUUGUUUUUUGGUAGGAAGAGUUUUAACUACUUCUUCAGUUCCUUUAAUAGUUGGAGGAUUAUUCAGGAUUUCUUUUUCUUCUUGCGUUAAUUUUGGUAAGUUAUAGUUUUCUAGGAAUUGGUCCAUUUUGUCUGUGUUCUCAAACUUGUCGGCAUAAAGUUUCCUUGUUUUUUUGUUCUCUGUUCUAUCUGUAGUUAUGUCUCCUUUUUCAUUGCUGAUAUUGGUUAUUUGUGCUUUCUCACUUUUUUUCUUGAUCAAUCUCUCCAGAGGUUUGUCUAUUUUAUUAGUCUUUUCAAAGAACCAGCUUUUGGCUUUGUUGCUCCUCUCUAUUGUGUCUUUGUUUUCUAUUUCUUUAAUUUCUGCUCUUAUCUUUUUUGAUCUCCUUCCUUCCACAUUUUUUGGAUUUAUUCUGUUGUUCUUUUUCUAAUUUCUUAAAUUGGGCACAGAGCUCAUUAAUUUUUGUGCAUUUAAGGACAUAACUUUCCCUCUAACUACUGCUUUUCUUCAAGUUCAGACAUGUCGUAUUUUAUUAUUGUUCGGUUCCAAGUACUCAGCAUUUCCAUCGUGGUUACUUCUUUGACCUGCGAGAAGUGUGUUUCUAAAUAUUUGGAGAUUUAAAAUUUUACCUCUUUGUUAUUGAAAUUUGUCUUAAUUGCAUUAUGAUCAGAGGAUGUGAUCUGUGUGAUAAAAGCUCUGAAAUUUAUUGAGACUUGUUUUAUGGCUUAGUACGUGAUCAGUAUUUUUGAAUGUUUCCUAUGUGAUUUAUAAGAAUGUAUGUUCUCUAAUUGUUGAAUACAGAGUUCUACAUAUGUCUAUUAUCAAGUUUGUUAAUUGUAUUGUUCACAUUUUCUAUAUCUACUGAUUUUCGGGGGGUCGUACUAUACCAUGAAUUGUAAGGUGUGUUAAUAUUCAGUUCUGAUGGUGGAUUUAUCUGUUUCUUCUUGUAAUUCUCUUUUUCUUUACAUGUUUUGAGGGUAUUUUAUUAGGAAUAUUCAAAUCAAGAAUUGUUAUAUAUUCCUGCUAAACAUGUAUGACGUUCUCUAUUCCUGAUAAUGCAUUUUUCCUUGAAGUCUAUUGUAUCUUACAGUAAUAUAGAAACACAGACUUUUCUCCUGUUAGGAUUUGUGUUACUUUGAAACAUUUUCAUGCCUUAAUACUUUAAUUAUGUCUCUUGGGAAUGGCAUACAGCUGGACCUUUUAAAAAUCGAAUCUAAUGCUCUCUAUCUUUUAAUGGGCAAGUUUAGUCUGUUUACAUAUAUUGUGAAAUAUUUGGAUUUUUCUCUACCGUCAUAGUUUUUUAUUUCUAUUUCCUACCACCACCUUUGUGAUGCUUCAUUUUUCUCUUUUUUUGCCUGCUUUUUUCAUUUGUUUGUUUCCUUAUUCUAUUUUUUUCCUCAUUGCGGUUUGGAAUUUACCUGUUCUUUUCCCAUUAUUUCUGUGGUUAUCCUUGAGGUUUUGCUGUGCACAUAUAAGUUUUUAAGUUAAAACAGUGCUGGAGUUCCCAUCAUGGUGCAGUGGAAACGAAUCCGACUAGGAACCAUGAGGUUGCGGGUUCGAUUCCUGACCUUGCUCAGUGGGUUAAGGAUCCGGCAUUGCCAUGAACUGUGGUGUAGGUCGCAGACAUGGCUUGGAUCUAAUGUGGCUAUGGCUGUGGUGUAGGCCUGCAGCCGUAGCUCCAAUUCGACCCCUAGCCUGGGAACCUCCAUGUGCCAUGGGUAUGGCCCUAAAAAACAAACAUAAAUCAAUCAAUCAAUAAAGUUAAACAGUACUUUAACAUCCUUCUUGAAUGCGAGAAGCUUAGAAACAUUCAACUCUAGUCAUUCCUCUCUUGGACCACGUGUUAUUUUUUUGAGUAUAUUUAUUUCCUCCCUUUCCCCCCCUAACCUCACAAAUUCUAUAUCAUCCUUAGUAUUAUUUUAUGUAGAUGGUGUGUGUUUGGAUUUUCAUGCAUAUAUUCUUGCAUCUCAGACCAUCAUUCUGGGAUCAUUUUCCUUCAUUAUGAAUACAGUGUUGAGAUGCCCUUUUAGUACAGAUUUGUUGGUGUUAAAUUCUCCCAGUCUUUAUUAUAUGUAAAUGUCUUUAUUCUAUACUCAUUCUUAAAAGAUAGAUUGUUAUAGGUAAUAUUAGAAGUCCAUUGUCAGUCUAAUUACUAUUUUUGUAGGUGUUUUUGUUUUCUGGGUAUUCUCAAGGUCUCUCUCUCUCAUGGAGGAGAAUGUUCAGGGGGUUCUGCACUUUCAUUCUAUUAGUGUUUCGGUAUGUAUUUCUUUUUUAUUUAUUGUACUUUGGAAAUGUGCUUCAUGCCUCUGGAUUCAUGUUUUUCAUAAUUUCUAGAAAGUUCUCAGUCAUUAUCUCUUCAAAUAUUGCCUUUCCUCCAUUAUUUCUAUGUUUUCUUUCUCAGAAUUCAGUUAGUCAUAUUUUGCAUCUCUUCAUUCUAUCUUCCAUAUCUCGUAACAUCUCAUUGAUAUUUUCUAUCUUGUCUUCUUGCACUUCAUUGUGGACAAUUUCUUCAGAUAUAUCUUUCAGCUUAUUGAUUCUCUCUUCAGCUGUGUCUGAUCUGCUGUUUAAUCUGUCCACAGAAUUUUUUAUUUCAACAAUGGUAUUUUUCAUUUGUACAGCCUUCAUAUAUUUCACUUACCAAUCUGCCUGGUCAUCUCUUAAUAGUUUCUUGUUGCUUGCUCAUCUUUGUGGUUGCCUCUGUUAUUUCUUUAAACAUUUUAUACAAUUUUUGUUCAACCAGUGUCACUGUUUGCCUGAGUAUGGCAUUGUAAAUAUUGUUCACAUCCAGACUACAUAGUACAGUCUAAUGACAUAUCCUUUGUUACAUACCUUUUUGUUUUCCUAGUAAUUCCCUCGUUUUUUUGGUUUGUUUUUUUUUUCUUUUGCCUAGUGUUCUAAUACCAUUACUAGGUCUUCUCUGAAAUUCUUUUAAAAAUCCCUAUCAGGCUGUGUCCCUCCUCUGCUCAAAAUUCUCCCAUAACUCCCAUCUCCCUCAGAAUAAAAGCCAAAGCUCUCACCAUGGCCCCAAAGUUUCUACACAAGCUGGUCCCCAUAACCUCUCUGACCUGGCCUCAUAUCACUCUUCCCAUCACUCACUCUUCUCCAGCCACAUUGGCCUCCUUGCUGUCCCUUAAACAUGCCAGAUAUCCCCCCUCUUCAGAGCCUUUGUACUUGCUGUUAUCACUGUCUGGAACACUCUAAAUUGUAGAUAAUCUGAUGACUUGCCCACCCACUUCUAGUAUGCUCAAAUGUCACCUCCCUCGAGAAGCAUUCCCUAACCACCAUAUCUAAAAUAACCCCAUUCACCAGCACUUUCAUCAUCCCCUUAUCCUAUUUAUGGCUUAUGUUUUUCUGCAGAGCACUGAUCACCACCUGAUAUAUUUAUUUAUUUAUUGUGAUUAGUGUUUGUCUGUCCCCAAUAGACUGUAAGCUCCACAAAGCAGGACUCUUGUUUUUGUUCUUUGCUGUAUCCCCAGUGCCGAGAACAGUGCAUAGUAAUAUUGAGUAGAUACUCAAUAAAUAUUUGUGGAAUAAA